AACAUUUUGUAUCAUUUGCUAACGCGAAACAGUCAAAUGUUUAACCAUUAGACGAACAAAUUUAAACAUUGCCAACUUCAAUUUUUAUUGAGUGUCAUUCGUUAUAAAAAGCUGCAGUCACAAUAUAAAUAUAUAAGACAUGGAGCAUCAUCGUAAGGGAUCAUCUGCCAAUGAAGUCAUACUCAAUCCAACAUCCACAAACACCACCAAAAUUAAGCUACCCGAAUUGACGCUUAUUUCCCAAAUCAAAUGUACACAAUAUUGUUAAAUCCAUCAACUGCAAUUGUUAUUGUGUUAUUCGUUAUAAAUAGUUGCAGUAAGAUUUUAAUUCAUAAGCAUUGGAUAAGUAAAAUGGAUAAGUGUUCCGCUGACAUACUAUUCUGUGUAUUAUUUAUGUUUUCUAUUUAUACCAGAGGGUCAUCUGCCAAUGAAGGCAUACUCAAUCCAACAUCUACAAACAUUACCACCAACAUUGAGCCACCCGAAUUGAUACUUGUCUCCAUUGACGCUUAUUUCCCAAAUCAAAUCUACACAAAAUUGCUAAAUCCACCAAAAACAAUAAUAAUAACUGACAAAUAUCACAAAAUUGAUAUGUACUAAAAAAUAUUAUUGACAGAACAAUCAAUAAACUUGGUAGCAUUGUGGGAAAAGCUAUCGAUAGAUAAAUAAAUCAAUAAACUUGCCAGCAUUGUACCAACAUUUGUUAUUGACAUGCCAUUCGAUUAAAAUAAAAACAAAAUAACAAAUAUAAAUUCGCCAGGAUUGUGACAAAAGCUAUUGAUAAAUGUCUAAAAAAUCGAUUAUGUACUAAAUAUGUCGACAGAUAAAUCAAUAAACUUCCUAGCAUUUGCCAACAUACUAUUUUAUAAAAACAAAAAUAAAAAAUUCUACACAAAAUGGGAAAUUGCUACCUUGUUUAUUGAAAGUAACAAUAGUUACGCCGGAGGAAUCAUCUGUGGACAUUUUAAACUAUGUGUUCCAGGAUCACGUAAUGGAUUUUAUUGCCAGCUGCUGGAAUGCAUACAUACAUAUGUGUGUGAAAACUUCCAAAGGAAGUGUGUGACAACAAGUUUUUUACGGAGAGGACCAACAUAUGGAUUCCAAUAACCUUACUGGAAUACUUAUCAGGCCUUAUUUUUGAGAGAAUGCCGUGGUUAAAAAAAUGGGAUAUGGGUUUAUAUAUGCAUGUGUAAGAACCCAAGGAUGAUUAUAAACACCAUGAUACGUGGAGUGAAUUGUUUACUGUAGGAUACGCCGAUCAUUUAUCCUCCGGUCAGCACGAAUUCUAGUUAAAAAUCUAAUUAAUAACUUCAAAACCAUUAAGCGUAAAUGGUCGAAAUAAAAAUUCUCAUUGCUGAUAUUUUGAGUCACACUUUUUAAAUAAAUAAAGUGUUCUAUACACUAAGACUUCGGUUUAUGCGAUUGAUGGAAAAAAAUGAUGUCAUUUAAUAAACACCUAAAGUCUUAUUAUAAUAAUAAAUCAAAUAAAGAACAAGGGCAAAUCUAUAAAUAAACAUAUACAUACUUGCUGGAAUUGUGGCAACAGGUGUUGUUUGUUAUUGACAUUUCAUCUAAUCAAACCAAAAAAGGACAAUUCCACUCAAUAUAGGAAAUUGUUACUAUAUUAAUUGAAGGUAACAAUAGUUCAUCAUUUACGCCGGAGGAAUUAUUAUUUGUGCACUGUUUAAAAGAUGUAUUCCCGGUCUCCUUUACUAGUCAAAAUUAGAUGAAAAAAAUUAUUUUGAAUGUGAUAUUAACAAGUAUUUGGAUACAAAAUAUUGUGUGAUAUUUUUCCAAAUUAUUAGGCGUCGUAAAGGUAAACCUUUUAAUAUUGUUUUUCUAAACUUUGGACAGGAUACAUAUGUAUGCGGAAGAAAAAAUACAUAUAUUAAAGAAACUGCAAAAAAUUACAAAUUUAUAAAAAAGAACAAGAAAAACAAUUGUUUACAUUUAAUGGGAAAAGGUGUCGGAUAGGAAAACAAAGACGGAGACGAAUACAAAAUAAAUAAAAACGAUAAUCCAGCGUUGAAAGAUUGUGUGUUGGUAAAUAAACAACGCAUGUGUACUAGAAGGGAGGGCGAAAAAUACAACGACGACGGAAAUUGAAACAAGUGAAUGAUAUUUCUCCUAUGCUUCAUUUCUAUUACGAUUCCGCUUUCAGGUUCUUCAUAUUAAAAAAUGGGAAAAGGGCGGAGGGGAAAAAAGGAUAGAUACGAAUAGAAAAACUUUAAGAUUGGGUGUUGUUGUUCUUCUUCUUCUUGCUGUUCUUGAAAAAAGGGGGAAGGAAAAAAAUUCAAAAAGAAUAGGACGGAGGGAAAAGAAACAACAAUUAAGGCCGGAUAUGGAAAAGAAAAAGUCUAACAAAAAAGAAAACAACGAAGAAGAAAAGAAAAGGAACAAUUAAAAUAUUAAAUAAAAGGAGAAAGGCGACGACGAUCCUAGGACAAAAAAUUAAGACCAAAGUGUAGAGAAAGAGGGAAGAGAGAUAAAACGUAUAGAGUAGGAGAGAAGGAGGGCGGAAACUUGGUUAGCAUCUCGUCUUAAGUGGAGUUUAACCGGUGGCAUGUCUAGCUUACCAUCUACCAUUCUUUAGGGAGUCCACAUAUUCAAAACCUCAAUUUUUCAACAUGUUAACUUUAUUUGCUUUUUUCUCAGAAACUAAUGGCCAGAUUGGGCUGGAAACACGAUCUUAAUUGGUUUUCAGGUGCUGAAUCCGAAUAUGACCACUAAAUUUUGAUCCGACCAAGAUUUCAUCGAAAUCCGGAAAAUUCCAAACAUAUUUCGAGUAUGUGUCUUAAGUCUUCAUAAAUUUAGUUGUUAUAUGUGUGCCAUCUGAUGAAUAAAAAAAUAAAUAAAAAGGAUCGUUGUUAUAUGUGCGCCAUCUGAGUGGAAGAAAAUUAAUCAAAUGUUUUUAAAAGUGUCGCCAUAUGUUUGUCAAUAGGAAAAUAAAACAAAUGUUUGUCAGUUAUUUAUUUGGAGAAAAAUUUAUGGCAUCAUUGGUAAACAGCUGUUAUUAGAGUAUCAUUUUAUUAAGAAUGCCACAAUAAUAAAAAGAAAAUGGAAAACAUUUAUUUAAAAUCUAUAGAUUUAUAGAUCCUUGUGUAUUUUUUUAAUUAUAUUUUAUUAUACAUUGCGCCGGAGGAAUUUAUUUAAGGACUAUUUGUGAAAACAUUUAAUGGAAAAGAAGCAACAUUUACGUAGAGGGACAACAUUUGGACUAAAUUAACAUUACGGGAAUACUUAUCAGGCCUUAUUUUUGAGAGGAUGCCGUCGUUAAAGCUAUUAAUUGUCACUAUUAUUGAAUCAUGAUGAACCGAUUUUUACUUCUGGCUGCUGAGGAAUUGGCAUAAAAUGUUUCCAAAGCUGCAAGGAAGUACACAUAUAGUUCUUGAAACUAUAGAAAACCUGAAUGAUAUGUUUCCAGCUUGCCUAGUAUUUUUACGAGGACGCUUUGGAUAAAAAUAUUAUUGUUAAUAGUGGGUGUUACAGAUAAUCGAAUAAAAAUUUCAUUUCAAUAAAUAUUUUACUCAUGUUUAAUGAAGAAUAGAUAUAGAAAAAAUAUCUAUUCUUCAACGAUCGUAUUUUAUUGAA
Molecule: long non-coding RNA, 3591 nt
Filed under: Lucilia cuprina (Australian sheep blowfly)
Lineage: Eukaryota; Metazoa; Arthropoda; Insecta; Diptera; Calliphoridae
Description: uncharacterized LOC124420416
Source: RNAcentral